AGCAUGUGGUUUAAUCGAAGCAACGCGAAGAACCUUACCUGGGUUUGAACUGCAGUGGAAGACGCCAGAGAUGGCGUCGCCCCUUCGGGGGCCGCUGUGGAGGUGCUGCAUGGCUGUCGUCAGCUCGUGUCGUGAGAUGUUGGGUUAAGUCCCGCAACGAGCGCAACCCUUGCUCAUAGUUGCCAGCGGUUCGGCCGGGCACUCUAUGGGGACUGCCGGUGAUAAACCGGAGGAAGGUGGGGAUGACGUCAAGUCCUCAUGGCCUUUAUGUCCAGGGCUACACACGUGCUACAAUGGACGGUACAAAGAGUUGCGAUCCCGCGAGGGGGAGCUAAUCUCAAAAAGCCGUUCUCAGUUCGGAUUACAGUCUGCAACUCGACUGUAUGAAGCUGGAAUCGCUAGUAAUCGCGGAUCAGCACGCCGCGGUGAAUACGUUCCCGGGCCUU
This 446-nucleotide ribosomal RNA is filed under the name uncultured Holophagae bacterium. RNAcentral's name for it is "bacterial SSU rRNA". It matches the Rfam family "Bacterial small subunit ribosomal RNA", at positions 936 to 1382 of the family's 1533-position model. Lineage: Bacteria; Pseudomonadati; Acidobacteriota; Holophagae. The record is from RNAcentral.